GGUUUAGCAGCGAUUGAGCGCCAGAGACGAUCCAUUUCAGCGCAAAGGGACUGGAUCUGAGAGAUGUCCUUUUUAACGGUGAAGGAGAGCUCAGGGGAGUCGAGACCUCCACUAGAUGUAGAACUCUCGAGACGCUCCAGCCUCUCGACUCCAUCCCGAGCCCUGAGCAGGAGCUUCUUCGCAGUCUGAAAAAUCUCGGAUAGCGUCCCUCCUCCUUCAACAGCCAUCGCCAUUCGUUAAAGUUAUACAGAAAGUGAAAUCUAGAGCGAGUUUUGGCCUUUUUGGUGCCCUUUUAGACUCGGUUUUUAGAGAGUUUCAGAGAUGAGAGAAAAAAGCAUGCAAUUUCACAUGCCCAUGGCGUCGGCUUUUGGAAUUUGGUUUGAAGGGUUUGGAUUUUUUUUUUCUUUUUUUUU
RNAcentral lists this unclassified non-coding RNA (413 nucleotides) under Hevea brasiliensis (rubber tree). The record is from RNAcentral. Lineage: Eukaryota; Viridiplantae; Streptophyta; Magnoliopsida; Malpighiales; Euphorbiaceae.